GCCUGGGUGGCUCAGUCGGUUAAGCAUCCGACUUUGGCUCAGGUCAUGAUCUCACGGUCUGUGGGUUCGAGCCCCGCAUCGGGCU
Molecule: transfer RNA, 85 nt
Filed under: Felis catus (domestic cat)
Lineage: Eukaryota; Metazoa; Chordata; Mammalia; Carnivora; Felidae
Also listed under: 2 other names
Rfam family: tRNA
About the family: Transfer RNA (tRNA) molecules are approximately 80 nucleotides in length.
Source: Rfam by way of RNAcentral